Molecule: long non-coding RNA, 418 nt
Filed under: Trifolium pratense (red clover)
Lineage: Eukaryota; Viridiplantae; Streptophyta; Magnoliopsida; Fabales; Fabaceae
Description: long non-coding RNA (TPRA_LNC012759)
Source: RNAcentral
UUAUGUAAUGUGUGCUUUACUAAUAUAUAAUUUUAAAAUGGUUUUUAGGGAUAUGCAAACUGAAGCAUGACAAUGUGCAAAGGCUACUUGAACAAGUUUUGAUGCGGAUGAGAAACAAGUUUUAUUGGGACCCUUGCAUUUUAUAUGUAAAUGUAUUUUAGUGACAAUAUUUGUAGAGUUCAUUAUUUACUUGAGCUGAAAAUAGUUGUACAUUAACGUGAUUUUGUAACAUUUGAAUGAAAUAAUUUAUGUGUCUUGGUUUAUUUCAAAAUGCAAUUAGAAUAAACUUCUUUAUGAUUUGGAUUAUUUGUAGUUUUGUUACGUGUGAGCUUAAUUGUGUUCUAAUCUAAUUAUAAAACCAGUUAUGUUUAAUUAUGUUUAGAAUUACUUAUCUGUGAGAUUAAGUGAAACCAGUUCU